This 319-nucleotide ribosomal RNA is filed under the name uncultured eukaryote. RNAcentral's name for it is "partial 18S ribosomal RNA". It matches the Rfam family "Eukaryotic small subunit ribosomal RNA", at positions 1470 to 1796 of the family's 1831-position model. The record is from RNAcentral.
CCCUUAGAUGUUCUGGGCUGCACGCGUGCUACAAUGGCGUUUCCAGCAAGUCUGCGAACCCGAGAGGGCCAGCGGAUCUUCGAAUUGGCGUCGUGAUCGGGACAGUCGAUUGCAAUUAUUUGACUCAAACGCGGAAUUCCUUGUAAUCGCGAUUCAUCAUAUCGCGCUGAAUACGUCCCUGCCCUUUGUACACACCGCCCGUCGCUCCUACCGAUUGAGCGAUCCGGUAAAUGUUUUGGAUUGGUGCCGGGGCGGCUAGCUGCCGGUCGCUACGAAAUUUUGUGAACCUUAUCGCUUAGAGGAAGGAAAAGUCGUAACA